CAGGGUGUAGCUCAGCCUGGUUGGAGUACCGCACUUGGACUGCGGGGGUCAGAGGUUCGAAUCCUCUCACCCUGAC
RNAcentral lists this transfer RNA (76 nucleotides) under compost metagenome. RNAcentral describes it as "tRNA-Pro". It matches the Rfam family "tRNA". From Rfam's summary of the family: Transfer RNA (tRNA) molecules are approximately 80 nucleotides in length. Their secondary structure includes four short double-helical elements and three loops (D, anti-codon, and T loops). The record is from RNAcentral.